Molecule: ribosomal RNA, 151 nt
Filed under: uncultured bacterium
Lineage: Bacteria
Description: partial 16S ribosomal RNA
Rfam family: Archaeal small subunit ribosomal RNA
Source: RNAcentral
ACGGGGUGCAGCAGGCGCGAAACCUCCGCAAUGUGAGAAAUCGGGAGGGGGGGAUCCCAAGUGCCAUUCUUAACGGGAUGGCUUUUCAUUAGUGUAAAGAGCUUUUGGAAUAAGAGCUGGGCAAGACCGGUGCCAGCCGCCGCGGUAAUAC